AUUCUACUUCUCUCUCUAAGUAACAUGAAGAAAACUUUUUAUCGCCUCUCUCUAGGAUCCAAACCCCUCAAAUUUCCAGAAAAAACGAAAAACAUGAUGAACAUCUCAAGAACAUCUUGAAUGUUCUUGAGGUGAUUUUCCAGAAACCAUUAAAACUACCCAGACCCUCAUACAAUAAAUACAAACCCUAGCUCAAAUUCAACCUUAACCACAAAUCCACCCUAAAAAAAAGUGCAACAAAUUAAGCGGAUCGAAACAAAGAAAAUAGAUCCCUAAGUUUAAAAAUAUGUCUGAUCUACACAUGUUAAGCAUCAAACACUAUAAUUAAUUUAGGGAAAACAUCUAUGGCAUACGCAGAAGUGUAAAAUCAAACAGAAAGCGUGUUAAAUCAUGCAAUAGGUACCAAAUUGGAGCAAACUACUCUGGUGAAGAACUCCAACAAGCUUUAACUUUCAGCUUUGACUGAGGUUGCUUGAAGGAGUUAAGCUCAGCUUAAUUAGAGCUUCAAUGAGAAGCUCUAAUUGCUACAACAAGGAGCUCUAAAUGAAGGUUUUGGAUUUUAAGGUGUUACAAUUUACUUGUUCAUAGUGUGAAGUUUUGUGUAUUAUUUGUAGGUUUUGAAUUCCCCUUUUGUGUGUGAAUUAGAGCUAGCUUAAAUAGGCAUAGAUUAGGGUAUAGUGUGAGUGUGUGAAAAGUAAUUUCAAGUGUGUGAAAAGUGAUGAAAAUGAGUGAGAAUUUGUGUGAAUUGGAAGAUUUUUUGUGUGAGAGUGUGAUUUUGUUACGAAUCAUGUGAGGAGUAAAAAAAUUGGGAGGGAAAUGUAAAGAUUUGUUGCGAAUUUUGUGGAGAACGGGGAUGUGCAAACCGUGUGUGGUUUGUUAGUGGUCCAUGUGCAAGUUUUAAUUCUCAAAUUGUAAUGUAAUAAUCUUGAAAUUCAAAUGAAAUUCGAAUUAUUAAUUUCAAA
Long non-coding RNA from Lathyrus oleraceus (garden pea), 962 nucleotides. RefSeq lists it as uncharacterized. The record is from RefSeq and is a predicted model, not a curated record. NCBI's taxonomy places the organism in Eukaryota, Viridiplantae, Streptophyta, Magnoliopsida, Fabales, Fabaceae. The transcript is spliced from 2 exons.